Molecule: ribosomal RNA, 732 nt
Filed under: uncultured Neisseriales bacterium
Lineage: Bacteria; Pseudomonadati; Pseudomonadota; Betaproteobacteria; Neisseriales
Description: bacterial SSU rRNA
Rfam family: Bacterial small subunit ribosomal RNA
Source: RNAcentral
GCGGCAUGCUUUACACAUGCAAGUCGAACGGCAGCGAGGAGAAGCUUGCUUCUCUGUCGGCGAGUGGCGAACGGGUGAAUAUAGCAUCGGAACGUGCCAAGUAGUGGGGGAUAACCAAACGAAAGUUUGGCUAAUACCGCGUAAGCUCCAAGGAGGAAAGUAGGGGACCUAAAUAAGGCCUUACGCUAUUUGAUCGGCCGAUGUCGGAUUAGCUAGUUGGUGGGGUAAUGGCUCACCAAGGCAAUGAUCCGUAGCGGGUCUGAGAGGACGAUCCGCCACACUGGGACUGAGACACGGCCCAGACUCCUACGGGAGGCAGCAGUGGGGAAUUUUGGACAAUGGGGGAAACCCUGAUCCAGCCAUGCCGCGUGUAUGAAGAAGGCCUUAGGGUUGUAAAGUACUUUUGUUAGGGAAGAAAAGCUAGUUUUUAAUAAAAAUUAGUGAUGACGGUACCUAAAGAAUAAGCACCGGCUAACUACGUGCCAGCAGCCGCGGUAAUACGUAGGGUGCAAGCGUUAAUCGGAAUUAUUGGGCGUAAAGCGAGUGCAGACGGUUACUUAAGCCAGAUGUGAAAUCCCCAAGCUUAACUUGGGACGUGCAUUUGGAACUGGGUGACUAGAGUGUGUCAGAGGGAGGUAGAAUUCCACAUGUAGCGGUGGAAUGCGUAGAGAUGUGGAGGAAUACCGAUGGCGAAGGCAGCCUCCUGGGAUAACACUGACGUUGAGGCUCGAA